UACAGAGGGGGCAAGCGUUGUUCGGAAUUACUGGGCGUAAAGGGCGCGUAGGCGGCCACCUAAGUCGGACGUGAAAUCCCUCGGCUCAACCGAGGAACUGCGUCUGAUACUGGGUGGCUUGAGUUCGGGAGAGGGAUGUGGAAUUCCAGGUGUAGCGGUGAAAUGCGUAGAUAUCUGGAGGAACAUCUGUGGCGAAGGCGGCAUCCUGGACCGACACUGACGCUGAGGCGCGAAAGCCAGGGGAGCAAACGGG
RNAcentral lists this ribosomal RNA (253 nucleotides) under uncultured bacterium. RNAcentral describes it as "partial 16S ribosomal RNA". It matches the Rfam family "Bacterial small subunit ribosomal RNA", at positions 524 to 776 of the family's 1533-position model. The record is from RNAcentral.